CGGGAUGUAGCGCAGCCUGGUAGCGCACUACACUGGGGGUGUAGUGGUCGUCGGUUCAAAUCCGGCCAUCCCGA
Molecule: transfer RNA, 74 nt
Organism: SAR86 cluster bacterium SAR86B
Lineage: Bacteria; Pseudomonadati; Pseudomonadota; Gammaproteobacteria
Rfam family: tRNA
About the family: Transfer RNA (tRNA) molecules are approximately 80 nucleotides in length. Their secondary structure includes four short double-helical elements and three loops (D, anti-codon, and T loops).
Source: Rfam